Molecule: unclassified non-coding RNA, 942 nt
Filed under: Hevea brasiliensis (rubber tree)
Lineage: Eukaryota; Viridiplantae; Streptophyta; Magnoliopsida; Malpighiales; Euphorbiaceae
Source: RNAcentral
CUAGGAGGAGCCUUGGUAGACAAAUAUGGAGGAAAAAGAGUGAUGGCAUGGGGCGUGGGGCUGUGGUCUUUGGCCACUCUUCUUACUCCAUGGGCUGCUAACCACUCCACCUUCGGUCUCUUGGCCAUUCGUGCCUUCUUUGGACUUGCUGAGGGUGUAGCUCUGCCUUCCAUGAGCACCCUCUUGUCAAGGUGGUUUCCGAGCCAUGAACGAGCAAGUGCGGUUGGAAUUUCUAUGGCUGGGUUUUAUUCAUCUUGGCAAUGUUAUAGGCUUACUUCUAACUCCAAUUAUGUUAUCAACUAUUGGAAUUUCUGGUCCUUUUAUUCUCUUCGCUUCCCUUGGACUACUGUGGUUAACAACAUGGGCAAGUGGCGUCACGAGUGAUCCACGAGAUAGCCCUUUUAUCAGUAAAUCAGAGUUGCGGUUAAUUCAAGCUGGUAAAACUGAUUCACCAACGAACAAAGGCCAGCUUCCACCACUACGCCUACUAUUCUCAAAACUUCCAACAUGGGCAAUUAUUUUUGCUAAUGUAACUAACAAUUGGGGGUACUUUGUUCUUCUCUCAUGGAUGCCUGUAUAUUUCAAGACAGUUUUUAAUGUAAACUUGAAGCAAGCGGCUUGGUUUAGUGCUGUUCCAUGGGGGACAAUGGCACUUUCUGGUUACAUUGCAGGAGCAGCAUCGGAUUCCUUAAUCAAGGCAGGCUACUCUAUCACAUUAGUCCGAAAGAUAAUGCAGUCUAUUGGUUUCAUUGGACCUGGCGUGUCAUUGCUCUGCUUAAAUUUUGCCAAGACACCAGUGACUGCUUCUAUGUUAAUCACAGCAGCCCUGAGCUUGAGUUCUUUCAGCCAAGCUGGCUUUCUUCUCAAUAUGCAAGACAUAGCACCUCAAUAUGCAGGAUUCCUCCAUGGAAUUGCAAAUUCUGCGGGAACAUUUGCAGCGAU